This 952-nucleotide non-coding RNA is filed under the name Acantopsis choirorhynchos (longnose loach). RNAcentral describes it as "12S ribosomal RNA". It matches the Rfam family "Bacterial small subunit ribosomal RNA". Lineage: Eukaryota; Metazoa; Chordata; Actinopteri; Cypriniformes; Cobitidae. The record is from RNAcentral.
CAAAGGCUUGGUCCUGACUUUACCAUCAGCUCUAGCCCAAUUUACACAUGCAAGUCUCCGCAAACCCGUGAGGAUGCCCUCAAUCCCCCGCCCGGGGACGAGGAGCAGGCAUCAGGCACUAAACCACAGCCCACGACGCCUUGCCACGCCACACCCCCAAGGGAAUUCAGCAGUGAUAGACAUUAAGCCAUAAGUGAAAACUUGACUUAGUCAGAGCUACAUAGGGCCGGUAAAACUCGUGCCAGCCACCGCGGUUAUACGAGAGGCCCCAGUUGAUGGACACGGCGUAAAGGGUGGUUAAGGUAAGAUUAAAAUAAGGCUAAAGGAUUUCUUGGCUGUCAUACGCCCCUGAGACCCCGAAACCCAAACACGAAAGUAGCUUUAACACAAGCCCACCUGACCCCACGAAAGCUGAGGAACAAACUGGGAUUAGAUACCCCACUAUGCUUAGCUAUAAACUUAGACGUUAAAUUACAACAAACGUCCGCCAGGGUACUACGAGCGUCAGCUUAAAACCCAAAGGACUUGGCGGUGCCUUAGACCCCCCUAGAGGAGCCUGUUCUAGAACCGAUAACCCCCGUUAAACCUCACCACUCCUAGUCAACCCCGCCUAUAUACCGCCGUCGUCAGCUUACCCUGUGAAGGACAUAUAGUAAGCAAAAUGGACAAAGUCCAAAACGUCAGGUCGAGGUGUAGCGAACGGAGUGGGAAGAAAUGGGCUACAUUUUCUGCCACAGAACAACACGAACAGCAUUAUGAAACUUAGUGCUCAAAGGAGGAUUUAGUAGUAAAAAGGAAAUAGAGUGUCCUUUUGAACCCGGCUCUGAGGCGCGUACACACCGCCCGUCACUCUCCCCGCCCCAAGCGAUAAAGGUAUUUAACACCAAAGCACAAACAAGGGGAGGCAAGUCGUAACAUGGUAAGUGUACCGGAAGGUGCACUUGGAUCAAAU